UAGACGCUACGGACUUAAUUGGAUUGAGCCUUGGUAUGGAAACCUACUAAGUGAUAACUUUCAAAUUCAGGGAAACCCCGGAAUUAAAAAAAAUGGGCAAUCCUGAGCCAAAUCCUGUUUUCUCAAAACAAAAGAAAGGUUUAGAAAAAAAAAAAGGAUAGGUCCAGAGACUCAAUGGAAGCUGUUCUAACGAAUGGGGGCAUUUGUAGAGAAAUCCUUUCAUCAAAACAUCAGAAAGGAUUAAGGAGAAACCUAUCUAUUAAAGAAGAUAUAAAAAAAGAGUAUAUAAAAAUUAAAUGAUUAAUGAUGGUUCGAAUCUCUAGAUGUUUUUUUAUAUGCAAAAUAAAAGAAGAAUCGGUGUUAAUUCAUUCGACAUUGAUGAAAAAAAAAUAUAAUUUUGAUUCAUCAAAUCAUUCACUUCAUAGUCCGAUAAACCUUUUAAAGAACUGAUCAAUCGGACAAGAAUAAAGAUAGAGUCCCCUUCUACAUGUCAAUACUGGCAACAAUGAAAUUUAUAGUAAGAGGAAAAUCCGUUGACUUUUAAAAUCGUGAGGGUUCAAGUCCCUCUAUCCCCAAAUAAGCUUAUUUGACUCCCAAAAUCGUUAUCCUACCCUAUUUCUUUCCGUUACAAAUUGCUUUAUUUUUAUGAUUCUUUCAUAAACGUAGUUGGGUGUAAAUGACUUUAUCUUCUCCCAUGUGAUAUAGAAUAACAUCCGAAUUAGCAAAGAAUCCUGAUUUAAAUGACUCACAAUCAAUAGCUUUACGAAUACUGAAACUUAAAAAGUAGUCUUUUUGAAGAUCAAAUAAAUUUAAGUACUUGGAGAAAAAUUUUUAAUCCCUCCUUUCCCUUUAAUUGACAUAGACCCCAGCCAUCAACUAAAAUAAUAAAAUGCGUAUGGGUUACUACGCUGGCAAUGGUCGGGAUAGCUCAGCUGUAGAG
This 940-nucleotide unclassified non-coding RNA is filed under the name Utricularia fulva. Its description in RNAcentral is "partial contains tRNA-Leu (trnL) gene and trnL-trnF spacer region". The stretch from base 7 to 256 matches the Rfam family "Group I catalytic intron". The record is from RNAcentral. Lineage: Eukaryota; Viridiplantae; Streptophyta; Magnoliopsida; Lamiales; Lentibulariaceae.